RNAcentral lists this ribosomal RNA (497 nucleotides) under uncultured bacterium. RNAcentral's name for it is "partial 16S ribosomal RNA". It matches the Rfam family "Bacterial small subunit ribosomal RNA", at positions 28 to 506 of the family's 1533-position model. The record is from RNAcentral.
GAUGAACGCUGGCGGCGUGCCUAAUACAUGCAAGUCGAGCGAACAGACGAGGAGCUUGCUCCUCUUACGUUAGCGGCGGACGGGUGAGUAACACGUGGAUAACCUACCUAUAAGACUGGGAUAACUUCGGGAAACCGGAGCCAAUACCGGAUCAGAUAUUGAACCGCAUGGUUCAAUAGUGAUAGCCGGUUUUGCUGUCACUAAUAGAUGGAUCCAGGCCGGAUUAGGUAGGUGGUAAGGUAACGGCCUACCAAGGCGACGCUGCGUGACCGACCUGAGAGGAGGGACCGGCACAACGGGACUGAAAAACGGGCCCGAAUCCUAAGGGAAGCCAGAGGGAGGAAAACUUGCGCAUGGGGCGAAGGCCUGUCCGAGCAACGCGGGGGGAGUGAGGAGGGCCUCCGAAUCGUAAAACUCUGUUAUUGGGAAAGAACAAAUGUGUAAGUAACUAUGCUCGUCUUGACGGUACCUAAGCAGAAAGCCACGCCUAAUUACGG